UUUGUUGUAAGAACUGCCAGGGACGAAACAAUAAAGACCGGAAGCUGAGUUUUUAUCCAUUUCCUCUACAUGACAAAGAAAGACUGGAAAAAUGGUUAAAGAAUAUGAAGCAAGAUUCACGGGUUCCCAGGAAAAGACCCUUCUAAAAAAAUAUCCCAGAAGAAAAACUUGGAAGAUGAGAAAGAAGUAUGCCCAAAGGCCAAGUCAGAAGAAUCAGUUGUAUUAAAUGAGACAAAGAAAAAUAUAGUUAACACAAAUGUGCCCCCUCAACAUCCAGAAUUACUUACUUCAUUCAUCUUCCUUGGUUAAGCCACCAGCUCCUAAAACAGGAAGUAUACAAAAUUACAUGUUAACUCUUAAUCUAGUUAAACAACAUACUGGGAAACCAGAAUCUACCUUGGAAACAUCAGUUAACCAAGAUACAGGUAUAGAUGGUUUUCACACGUUUUGGGAAUCUAAAUUCUACAACUAUUACUUUGACAACUCCAAAUUCAGAAAGUAUUCAUCAAUCUUUGGAAACCCAAGAAGUUCUUGAAGUAACUUCUAGUCAUCUUGCUAAUCCAAAUUUUACAAGUAAUUCCAUGGAAAUAAAGUCAGCACAGGAAAAUCCAUUCUUAUUCAGCACAAUUAAUCAAACAGUUGAAGAAUUAAACACAAAGAAUCUGUUAUUGCCAUUUUUGUACCUGCCGAAAAUUCUAAACCUUCAGUUAAUUCUUCUAUAUCUGCACAGAAAGAAACUACGGAAAUGGAAGACAUAGACAUCGAAGACUCUUUGUAUAAGGAUGUAGACUAUGGGACAGAAGUUUUACAAAUUGAACAUUCUUACUGCAGACAAGAUAUAAAUAGGGAACAUCUUUGGCAGAAAGUCUCUAAGCUACAUUCAAAGAUAACUCUUCUAGAGUUAAAAGAGCAACAAACUAGGUAGAUUGAAGUCUUUGGAAGCUCUUAUAAGGCAGCUAAAGAAGGACAACUGGCUAUCUGAAGAAAAUGUCAAGAUUAUAGAAAACCGUUUUACAACAUAUGAAGUCACUAUGAUAUAGAAUAACUAGGUUUUAAAACUAUGGCUGUUAAAUAAGCUUUUUCCAGCCAAACCAAACUACAUGUAAAGUGAACUUUUUCCCUUAUAAAGUUCUCAUCUUAAUGAACCUAUGAGAGUGUUGUGAAGCUAUGAACUGUAUCCUAUUCUUGUAAUGCUCAUUUAAGAAAGACCAGAGUGUUGGGCUGGAGAGAAAAGCAGUUUUAUUAUUGAUAAUUUUCCAAAUUAAAAUUUAGCACAUAAAAGGAUUCAGUUAUAACAUGAGAAAACAAAGAAGUGUUCAAAGAGCACAGACUAGAAGUCAGGUUCAGGAAUCAGUCCUGGUUCUACUGCUGGCAUAUGACUUGGGCAAGUUACUUAUGAUUGUGCCUCAGUCCCUAAUUUGUAAAAUAAGCACUUACUAGAUUUCUAAUUGUCUACUUCUUUAUAGUUCCUUCCCUUUUUUAUUAAGAUAUUUCUAUUAGAACACAUUUUCUGUAAGAUAAUAUCUACUUAAUACUAGAAGUUGGCCAGAAUUUGAUGAUAUUAACUAUGUAUUAUUUUCAAUAUUUAUUGAAUUCUGUGGUGUUUGACCUUUUGGCUGUAGUUACAUAUUACAGUUAUAUUAUCUGUAAUAGAAAGGAAGAUAAACCUUUGUUUUUUGUUUUUUGUGUUUUUUUUUUUGAGAUGGAGUCUGGCUGUGUAACCCAGGCUGGAGUGCAGUGGCCUGAUCUCGGCUCACUGCAGCCUCUGCCUCCCAGGUUCAAGUGAUUCUCCUGCUUCAGCCUCCCGAGUAGCGGGGAUUACAGGCGCACACCAUCACAUCCAGCUUAUUUUUGUAUUUUCAGUAGAAACGGCGUUUCACCAUGUUGGCCAGGCUGGUCUCAAACUCCUGACCCCAGGUGAUCCACCUGCCUCGGCCUUCCAAAGUGCCGGGAUUACAGGCGUGAGCCACCGCGCCUGGCCAAGAUAGAACUUUUAUAAUUUUAUUCCAGUUGAACUAAACUAAGGAACCACCCCAUUAGCCCAGUUCUUAGGAGAGGUACUUCAAACUUGAAAGAAUAUGUAUUUCGGUAACUUAUAUGUGGCUAACCAUCAAAUACAUAGUCAUCUAAGCUAAACGUUCUGUAUUUAUACAGUUAUAUUUAUAAACCAAAAAUUUUAAUGAGGUUAAUUUUAAAUAUAUUUUAGAAAUCACAGUUUGUAUGUUUCUUAGUAGGUGUGGCCUUUAAAAUAUGUGCUUAUUCAUUGUUAAAUUCCAGAAUAAUAGAGUAAUACUUAAUACUGUACAUUCCCACUUAUGUAUAUUUUAUUAAAAUUUAUAAGCAAGAAAUUAUACAUAAGUGCUCAUGAUCUUAGACAAAUAAUUUCUCCUAGGAAAGAGAAGUGAUGGUAAUGUAAAUAAAAAUACUGUUUAUAUUCACAUGAUUUUAAGAAAACUGUAAAAGCAAAGAGUUUAGUAAUGACACCAAUGUGACAAAUAGAUGUUUUCUUAAAAUUGGCAGUCAAUAUAAUUAUGUUUCUGCCUAUAAUGUUGAGGAAGUUCUAUCAGUCUGAUUCUUAGUUUUCUCAUCUGUUAAGUAGAACAUACUAUUACUUACCUUAAAGAGUGGCUUUGAGAAUUUUGUAAGGAACAAACAUGUUUUUGGUUCUGGAAUAUAGGAGGUGCUCAAUAAAAGUUGACUCUGGCAAAAAAAAAGA
This is an RNA transcript of Symphalangus syndactylus (siamang), 2716 nucleotides long. It is a transcript of the gene named THAP domain-containing protein 5-like, with no coding region annotated. The record is from RefSeq and is a predicted model, not a curated record. Lineage: Eukaryota; Metazoa; Chordata; Mammalia; Primates; Hylobatidae.